RNAcentral lists this ribosomal RNA (426 nucleotides) under Triticum aestivum (bread wheat). RNAcentral's name for it is "partial small subunit ribosomal RNA". Lineage: Eukaryota; Viridiplantae; Streptophyta; Magnoliopsida; Poales; Poaceae. The record is from RNAcentral.
AUGGAUAUCAACAAUCAGUCAAGCAAAGAAAUAUUCAUGGGAGAUAUACAGGGAUCCAUAAGAAUGUGCACCGUAUGGCACUACCCUUUUGUCAUUGAGCCACUAUCACAUUUUGGUCAGCAAUCAGUUCAAGCAAUUCUCAGGGCCAUUAGUCAGAAGUUUGAAUUUACAUCUGAACGAACAAUACAUCAAGCCACAGAAGAAAGAGUGGUCAUCUCUUUUUCUUGGUACAAAGAUGCCAUACAAGCAUUCAGACUUCUGAAUCGCACAAGCAGUUUGUAUAUAAAUGGUGUGCCAUAUCGUUUUAACAUGGACACUUCAAAAGUAUAUCUGCCAGGAGUGGUCGCUGAUCACUAUGAUUAUAGUAGCCCUAAAGAGUUUGCCUUGCGUUUGCGUUCACAUGUAGUUGCAGUUUUAGCCUUUUAG